GGGGACCGCCGCUGCUAAAGCGGAGGAAGGAAUGGGCAACGGUAGGUCAGCAUGCCCCGAAUUAUCUGGGCUACACGCGGGCUACAAUGGGUGGGACAAUGGGUAUCGACACCGAAAGGUGAAGGCAAUCUCCUAAACCCAUCCGUAGUUCGGAUUGUGGGCUGCAACUCGCCCACAUGAAGCUGGAAUCUGUAGUAAUCGUGUCUCAAAAUGGCACGGUGAAUAUGUCCCUGCUCCUU
This 239-nucleotide ribosomal RNA is filed under the name uncultured Methanomicrobiales archaeon. RNAcentral's name for it is "partial 16S ribosomal RNA". It matches the Rfam family "Archaeal small subunit ribosomal RNA", at positions 1100 to 1338 of the family's 1478-position model. The record is from RNAcentral. Lineage: Archaea; Methanobacteriati; Methanobacteriota; Methanomicrobia; Methanomicrobiales.